RNAcentral lists this long non-coding RNA (1681 nucleotides) under Haliotis rubra (blacklip abalone). Its description in RNAcentral is "uncharacterized LOC124286058". Lineage: Eukaryota; Metazoa; Mollusca; Gastropoda; Lepetellida; Haliotidae. The record is from RNAcentral.
AUAAUGAAUCGAUUCCAAACGGGGCUCUAACACCAGCUUAUACAUACACACAACACCAGAGCACAUAGAAACGAUCGAUCAUUUCAGUUUUUCUACGACAACACGAGUCGUCUCAUACGCAUGAUGUCUUUUUGGUGUAAGUGUAGCAUCAGGAUGGAUGGAGAACACUAGUAGGAGUCUGGAACCACACGGAUCCAUGCAGAUGGAUUGUGGAUAACAACGUUCUUGAGUAAGGUUGAAUCAUGGGAAGCGAGUACUGGUCUCACUACCGAAGCCUCCCUUCGAUAUUACCGUAUCUACCAGAUCGCCAGGACACCUUCCAUAACGAUGGCGACGACGAACGGCGUGUGGUAUCAGAAGCCACCGGUUUGAUCAGAGAAAAUCCUGAAGAUGUAUGUCCAAAUCAUGGCUGGAUCCUCCCUGACCACAGGAGAACGGAGUUUUACGUCCCUCCACCAUUUUCGUACGUUCCUCCUCGUCUUGCCCAGGAGCAACAUACCACGCAGGCAGACACAGUGACAGCUAAGCAAUCUCUGGAAGAAGAUGAUCUCCCGCAGUCAGGCAGUCCCAAAUCACUUCCAGAACAAUUGUGCUGUUCACAUAAAUCACGAAAGCAAUCGUUAAUACCUGUUCCUGUAAGAAAGUUUUCUUCGCCAUCGAGUUUACCUUCAGUUAAAACGGGACAACCUGUUUCUGAGAAUGGCUCACAGAAUCAAAGGCACACUGCUGACGGGAAACAAUUUAUCCCACAUCAAGUUUCUUCUGGGCUGACUUUUAUUCCUCUUGCUACUAAACGAAAAUAUUUGUCACCAGAACUGUCACGGAAACACUUUGUACCGCCACUUGCUGUUUCAAGGCGUACCUCGUCGCCCAUGGUAUUCCAAAGAAGUUCCUACAAGCCAAUCCGUACAGGAUUGGAUGUAUGGGCAACUCCUCGCUAUCCUUUGAAGAAGAGGAGGAGCCUUAAGAAUGAACCAAGGCCAAUUUGGCGAAUCUGAUUAUGUCAUACAUCUUCAGCUUUUAUUGACCAAUUUAGCACUCUAUGCAAUAGGCAGUUCUGUGAUCAUCAUUUUGUUUUUUGCAUGGAAUACUUUGUUAAACGGUGCUAUGUAACUGAAUUGAUGCAAAUGAUGCUGCUUCGAGCUCCUAAAGACAUCGUCUACGAUUUCAAAAUCCGUCCACACUUGGAGUCAACUGUUGUAAAGAAGAGGUGUAUGAUAUAGUUGAUUAUUUAUCAUUGCCAAGCGAAAGCAAGAUAAACCAAUUUAGGAUUCUUGGUUAGAAUAUGUUCAAGGCAACCAAAUAGCAUGCUGGUGGUAAGAUGAUCUGUGGCAAGGCUCGUGAUCUGGUUCAUUGCGUACUGAACGACCUGGAUUGAUGCUCACAAUGUUGACCUCUUCAAUGUUCUGGCCCAGAUGCGGUUAUUCAGAGGUCGAAUUUGUAAAUAUUGUACCAUCUGCUUCUACAAGAGAUUUCUUAUGAAUGUGGAAAGGGUUUUGUCGCUUCUAUUUAUGUCAUUAUUAUCUAAUUGAUGAUUGCAGAAAUACAUAUCUGGCACCAUUUAUGACUGUUUUUAUUGAUGUCAUUGUUAUUUGUACCUGCUGUUAGUAUGACUGUGUAAACUUUAAUAUAGAAAUAUGCAUUUGGCAUCAUCUAUUACAAUUAAACAUCGUUUGUGUGA